GACGAACGCUGGCGGCGGGCUUAACACAUGCAAGUCGAACGGAAAGGCCCUGCUUGUGUGGGGUGCUCGAGGGGCGAACGGGUGAGUAACACGAGAGUAACCUGACCUUGACUUUGGGCUAGCGUCAAGAAGCUGGGGCUCAUACCGGAUAGGAGCUCCUGCUGCAUGGGGGGGGUUGGAAAGUUUCGGCGGUUGGGGAUGGACUCGCGGCUUAUCAGCGUGUUGGUGGGGUGGUGGCUUACCAAGGCUUUGACGGGUAGCCGGCCUGAGAGGGUGACCGGCCACAUUGCGACUGUGCUACGGCCCAGACUCCUACGGGAGGCAGCAGUGGGGAAUAUUGCACGAUGCGCGGAAGCCUGAUGCAGCAACGCCGCGUGCGGGAUUAUGGCCUUCGGGUUGUAGACCGCUUUCGCCUGUGACGAAGCGUGAGUGACGGUAAUGGGUAAAGAAGCACCGGCUAACUACGUG
Molecule: ribosomal RNA, 468 nt
Filed under: uncultured bacterium
Lineage: Bacteria
Description: partial 16S ribosomal RNA
Rfam family: Bacterial small subunit ribosomal RNA
Source: RNAcentral